GUCAUAGUGGUGUCAAAAAUCGUGGUGAAAGGACGUGUCGUGCGGUCCAGUGUAAUUUCAACUGCGUAAUUACUUUUAUUAGUGUUAAUUUAUCGUUUAUGAAGUACUACCAGUGUUAUUUGAGUAAUCCACGUCUAUUUAAUGAUUUAUUGGACAUCGCCACAACAAAAUCAAAUAUCAAUUGGCUUUGAAGAUAUUUUGAAACAAUAGAGGCUUACAUUAUAGACGCCAUGUUAAUUAAUAAUGGACUCUUCCAGAUUAACGUUUGAAACUGAUGACAAUUUCACAUACGCAAUACUAAUACAACGCAUAUUAAUAACAAAGCAGAUUCUUCGCAUCGACUGGCAUGACUCGAGGGUUUGGCAACGCGGUCGAAGACAAUCUACCGACGAAAUUUCAACGGCACGGUGCCAGCGAGGCCUUGUUGACGGGGGCCUCUCCACGCUUUUUUUCUCUUCCUCCUCUGGGGUGAGGUAGGGACGAUUUAUUUCGCGUUACGCGGCGACGGAAGCACCGGAAGAGAGAGAGAGUCCAUCGACCCAAGCGGAGAGGAGCCAGGAGUGGUGGGAAGGAAGGUGCAGUAGUGGUAUGCUCGUUGCAGGGAACGAGGAAGAUUUGAUCGAAGAUGUUAGGGGAGGACUCUUCUCGAGUUGCUCGCCACGUUGUGGUAGGUACGCUGUUGGGGAAGGGGGGUUUGUCGAUGUUACACGAGCGUGAUGAUUAAAUUAUCGCGUACGUGUUUGUACGUGCUUCUUAAAACGAGCCGUUUCGAGUCAACGAGCCGGAGAUUCAUGGCCCGGCUGGAUUAAAACACUCGGCCGCGAAUCAAUACCUCGCUUUUAAAUUUCCUCGCUCGAGAACAGAAACCGGAUAACCGGCUCGUACGUAUGAUAAACCUAUACCAUGGAUCCUCUGAAAAAAAUUCCAUCAGGAUUCUUCUUCUGUGAAUCCUUCGAGCACGCUCGCUGUGUGUGACUGACCGACAACAGAUAUUCGAGAAUCGCUCCCCGAUCAUCAUCGAUAUUCCAUCGGACGGAUCCCAUCGACGCGAGCAUUUAACCAAGGAUCGAAUCGUGAGAUAAAAUAACGCGAUUGUAAACGAAAUGCCUCGUCGAACGAUCCUAUAAAGCGUAUAAAGAAAAAAAAGAGGGGAGGGGGAGGGGGUGGCAGCAAAACGGAAUAUCAAAACGGAACAUCAAAACGUAACGAUGCGCUAUUCCACGAUCCACGAGGAUGAGGAUUCAAUGUUCAAUGUAUCGGGAGUUGUAUCGGUUGUAGGGUGAAAUCGUAAACGCGGGGACGACAAGCUCGAUCGGCAAAAAGUUGGCAAUCGAUUAAGUUAAGCGACGGCGGUGGGUUGAAAAAGCGGCAAUUACGGCGCUAGGAUGGGAAAAAACAUCGUGAUCCAGCGGGUAUGCAGGUCGAUAACGAUCUCUGGUUAAAUAAUUUGAACGAAACCCGGCCAAGAUCCUGCUUGCUCUUCGCGUAACGUUAUCUCUCGCGUAACAACGCUUUAUACGGAUUAAUUCGUCGAUAAACGCUCACCCCUUUUUCAACUUUAUUACCAACGUUUCCCUUCCAAUGAUCCUCCUCCGCGUUCCUCUUUCCCUUCCCCCCCUUUUAUUUCAUUACGUGGCACCCCGAUUCCGCUCCUACUCCAUCCCUUUGGUCUCCCUUUGCUUUUGCUCUUUUUCGUUCGAUUCUUUCGUCCUUUGAAUUCUUUCGUCCCUUUCAUUCACCUCCUCUUCAACGGAUUGUGACUAUCCGUUCGAUUCCACCGAUCUUUGACCCUUUGCGUUUUUUCAGUUUCAUUCUCUUGGUCCUCUGUAGAUUCGCUCCUUCAUUUUCUUUUUCGAGCUUCCAAGCUUUUUUUCGUCGAGAUCUUGGAGAUUCGAUACACUUUUCUCCGUUAUAUGCGUUAUCAUCUUUCUUUGUUUACUUCGAAUUCAGCAUUUGUUGAAUUUUUAACAAGAUUCUUCGAGUUCCCUUCAGCCGAUUCUUCCAUAUCGUUCUUUCUCUUCGAUACUUGCUUUAAUCUUCCUCUGGAUUUUCCCCGCUCCCGCCAGUUUCACCCUUUUUAACUAUUUCUCUUGCACUCUUUUCGAGAUUCUUUUCAACUCGCUGUUCUCGCUUUUUUGUUUUAUCCCUUCUUUUUCCUUCCAACCCGUUCUCGUUCUUUAAUUUCUAACUCUUACGCUUGACCAAUUUUCUCUUUUUAUAUCAUUAUCCCUAAUUUUAUUCCACCUUUUUCUCUCUUCACUAUUCCACUUAAGUCUAUCUUUAUUCUUCUUUUUUCGUGUAUAAUCUUUAUUUAUUCUUCUUUCUACCUCAUUCUCGUUUUUCCAAUCUCUACAUUUUCCAAAUUUUCUUUUUUCUCUAUUUUAUAUAACACUCACUUGCACUAUGAAACGUGCAUUUAUCAUUUAUCAUUUAAUUUCCGCAUUGUUUUUAAAUCUUUUUAUAUCUUCGACUGGAUUUCUAAUUCACAAUUUGACAAUGUAAUUAAAAUUACAGAGAACAUUUUAUGUACAUGUGCUAUAUUGUCGGUUUAGGGGAAAUCCAAUCAGGUAAAAUCUUGAUUUGGCAUGCAUUCUUUGUCCAAUCUCAAACCCUCUUCCUUACCAUUCUGGUUCAAGCAUCCUCAGUGAUACGUCUAUCGCAGCAGUCCAUACAUUUCUCUGACCCAUUCCAUAUAAAUUCUCGUCGAAACUAUCGUAAAAUUCUUCCUCUCCGUGCACGUGAAGGAAAAAAGCUCGUUCCUUCACGUUCCCAAUACUUUAAAUCGAACAUUCACAAAUACUGUGUCGUACAACGUAUAAUAGCAAGAUUAAAAAAUUGAUUAUGAUCGUGUAUUUUAUCUAUCAAAGUGUAAAAAUCGAAUUUUGAUAAACCAUAUCCUCUUUAAAUAUCAUAAGGAAUACCACAUCUUGGAUAUUACAUUCAAAUAAACAUUCUCAAUUUAAUUAUAGUAAUUUUUACCAACUAAACACUUUUUUUGAUUUGAAGGAAUCUAAAUAAACUCGAUCGAGCUACGUUGUCCCCCAAACGUUCACAGUUAAUAAUAAUUUAACAAAUAACCGUAGAAUAAAAUCUAUAUAAAGUUAGGGUUCGAAAUCCUCUUUUCUUUUUCCUCGUAUGAUUAUUCUCCCCCUAUUUAUUAAUAUUCUUUUCCUCACCAUCCCUUAACUCGCUUCCUGGUUACAUACCUGUAUCAAAUCCCAGGUGGAGUAAUCGGGGUAAUCUCGUAAGCGAGAAGUGAGCGCUGUGUUAAUCCGAUUGCGGAGCGUUCCAAAUAAAAGGGCGGCCCGUUCCGACCGCGAUAUUAAUAAAUCGUUGUCCUGCGGGAGAAUGGUCGAAGUUAGAGUAAUUCUGGAUGCGGAGAGAGAUGCGAAUGGGCCUCCACCACGCGUGCAAACGUCACUGACCACGUGCUGCGCCCAUAAAACCACCCUUUCGUGUGCGAAAGGGCGCAGUUAUCGCACUUGCGUUGAUGAUCGCACACGCGGGACGCGUAAUCUCCAACUUUUUUCUUUCCAAUUGCGUCGAUCGAACGAUAGCAGAAAAUGGAGAAUUUCGAUUCAGAAGCAAUCGUGGUGAGGGAGAAAAAAAUUCUUUCGAAAUUUUGAAUGAUACGUAAAUAUCAAGCGGAAGAUAAUUGGUCGAUUGCAGUGAAUAUAAUUAGAAAAUCACGUGAUAUGAUACUUUAAAUUGAGUAAACAGCUCUUGGAAAUACGAUUCGUCGUGCGAUCCAUCGUUCUUUCGGCGUUAUUUUUCAUGUAGAGAAUCUGAUCGAUUAAUUAAUUAAAGUCGAAUACGAUAAACGGUUCUCUUUAUCGAAAAUUAAAGGAAUUAAGACGCUCGUUUGAAAUAAAAAGACCUCGAUGCACAGUUUUUACGUGGCUUUUGCGGCUUCAUUAAGAAUUGUUGAUAGGACGGGGGCUGGCAAGGGAUCGCCAGUAGAGGGUGAAUGAAUCUUUUGUUCCCUUCGCGUGAAUGAGGUUGCGCCGUGUUCUUUAACCCCUUUUAAUCGAUGCUCCUAGCUACCCUUUCAGAAUUAUAUUCUACUCUACGUGUGUAAAUGGGUUUGAAAAUAUUAUUAUAGCAAGUAAAACUACUUUUCAAAACUAUAUUUCAAAAGAUACGCUUCUAAUACAAUUUCCUAAGAUCACCAUUAUAUAAUUAUCUACAAUUCACCCCGAUUAUUUAAAUCUGCAAAAAUCUGGAAUUCCAAAUUUUUCUCUCCUUACGCAACAUCGUGUCCGACAAUCGAUCCCAACACUGGCCAAUUUCCUCCGCAAGAGAGCAAAAAGGAAGGGAUGGAAGAGGAGGAGUAGCUUUCGCGCCCUUCGAACCAGUUUCGUUCCUCCGCCGAACGAAAAAGAAUUUACGAGACGACGUGACCGAGCCGCAUGAGCGGAUGCGCGGACGGGGCUAAUCCGGAAAUCCGGAAUGCCCGCCGAUUUACGAAGAGCAACCGAUUUUUAUGGACCGUUGCCGGAUAUCCGGAGAGGAAUCCGCGCUCGAACUAACUCUUCAUCUCGUGAUCGGCCUCGCUUCUUUCCUCUUCCAUAAAUUUAAUCACACGUUUCUCCGUCGAUAGCCAGGUCUUAUACUCUGUUUUCCGAAUUGCGAAAAUUUAACAACGGCAAUUAAUAAUUGGAUAAUUCUUCGAGAAAAUUAUUCGUAGAAAAUUUCUGCAUGUUUCUCGUGGUGUUGAAAUUUAAAUCUCCAUGAAGGUAGCUUCUUCCAUUCACGAUUCUAAAAAUAUAUAUGAAAGGAUGGCGAAACGGAAGCUCCACCUCCAUCCUGCAUCUUGAAGGUUUCCGUUUAAUCCGCCAAAGUUCGCGCGGCUUACUAUUUACGUAUAUCGUGGCCCCUUGGAAUUAUGUUUCAACCCAGUUCCGCCCCUCCUCCGUAAUUGUGCUUGGUGGAAGAAAGGUUUACGAGACUCUGUCUCGAGACCAGGCUCGAAAAGAAUUUGAGGGCCGAGUCGCCAGUUUCAGAAUUUACGUGCUCGAACUAUGAGUAAAGUUUCUAACUUGUUCCUAGCUGGAACGAAUAAAUCCUAUCUCGAGUCUUUCUUCUUUCUUUCUUUCUUUCUUUCCUCGCUUGUUUGUUGGGUAUAAUCGGCAUGUUCGACAUGUUUAUCACUUUUGAUCGGAACAACGAGCUCGUAGAUGGAAAAUCGCGGAAUGGAAAUCUCUGUGAAGAGUGUCUUGAACUUCUUUGGUAUAUUUCCUCCCAUCGCGUGACGCUUUCCUUAUUCGAGCAUAAAUUUUCUAAUAUCUGGCUUUUAAUUAGCGGUCGGCCGGGGCAUCGUGCAGAUGUUAAUCACGGGGCCGCCGAUAUAAAAGCGCGGCCUUUAAAAACACGACACGUUUCGCCAUAAUCGGCCCUUACACGACAUUGUUCGACCGAUAAAAAAAAAUCAUGCGCGAGGCUCGACUCUUUUCCACUUCGCUAAUCACGAAAGUGCGAGCAUUCGAUCGUGGGGGCCGUCGAGUUGACACGAAAUUCACGUUUACCAGAUACGCGUUCGUUGUUUCAAUUUGUUCUUCUUCCGUUUCGGGGAUUAUUGAGUUAAAAUUCGGAGAAAUAUUGGGGAUAUUUAUCAUUUUUCCUGAAUUCUUCUGAUACAAUAUUUAAAGUGGAUCUCUCUAAUUUUUAACUUUCGAUUCUAUUUUAUCCAGUUUCGGCCUCUUUUUUGCUAUUUGUUUGUUGAAAGCUUGGGUUACAAUCGUUGUAAACUAAUGUGACAAUGCAAGUAAAUUACCGCUCGAACGCAGUCCAGUUAAAACGAAUUCUCGCCAAUUAUCCUCCGAAAGUCCGUUUCAGCCCGUUUAAACGUCUAUCCCAUCUAAUUCGAGCAAUUCAUUCAUCGCGUGACAAACGGCCGUCCAAAUAUGACGGCACGUAUCAAUUAACAAUCGAAUCAAACUUAGUUAAACGUGAUCGAUCGAUGCUUUCAGUCGGAUGUUCCAUUAUUUUCCUUUUUCUCCUCGAUCAUUGUGUCCAAAUAAUUAGGAAUACACGAAAUAACGAUGUAAAAGGAGAAUAAAAAGGAAAAAAGAAUCUUUAACCGUGCGGAAAUGAUUGAAUUAAACAAUAAUUCGUGGUAAGAGAAAGAAAGAAAGAAAGAAAAACAUAGAAAAAGAUCAGUGGAGAAAAUUUCCUCGUCCUUGGACAAUGCAAGAGCAAUAAGAGAAUUAAAACUAGAAACCGUGAACACGCCAAGAAAGGAAAUCCGAUUCUUAUCAUCGCGUGAAAUGCAGCCACGUCUUAAUGGCCACUUAACCGGAAGUUGGCUGGAUUCGGUCAACUUCGAGACCGCGGGAAAAUUUGUGGAAAACCACGCGACAAGCGUGUUUGUACCGCGAAUGUUGUUGGCACAAUUUCUUCCGCAACUUUGUGCAUUCGAUGACAUCACUUUACCAGCGAGGAUUAAAAAUUACUCUUCGUAAUUUUAUUUUCGAAAGAAGAUGUAAGAAAUAAAUAAAACUUAUAUUUUUUCCUUUUUUUAGAAACAAUGUAAUUUCGAACAAGAUUCUAUCACUGAGAAAUUUUAUUUUUUCGAACAAAAUUCUACCACACGAAUUUCUCGAAACAUCUACGUCAGAGACAUCCUGCUGGAAGUUAGCCGCGACGAUAGAGAGAAAUAGAGGGGGAGGACUUGUACGAGAUACAAAUUUUUCGUGGCAACGAGAAUAUCGGGUACGAAUGGAAAGUUUUCGUCGCCCCCUCUUUAUCUUCAUCCCUGUCCUCCUCCCGGUGGCGCAUGCAUUCUUUCGUUUGUUAAAUCCCUUUCGCAGACGGGGCUGGUGGCGUCUGCAUCUGCAGGAAACGAUGUCAACGAUACUCGUCUUAAUGCCUGUUGAACCGGAAGUGCAAGGAUAAGAGCCCGAAGGCCACUCGAGUCCAAGUCGAGCAAGCGUAAUGAAAACGCGCAGAAAACAAGGGCUCGUCUGGUAAUUCGUGUAUUUUUCCUUCCUUCUUUUCUCUUCUCUUUUUCUUAAUACUGCUCUCCUUGUAAAUUCUCAUCUUUGUUUUUUUUUUUUCCCGAUAUUUUUUUCUCUCGUUCGUCGAUUUCAAUCAGCGUUUCUUUCGAUGAAGCAAAUUAGGAACGAAGCUACUUUGAUAAAGCAAAGGAGAAGUGGGAAACGACGGUGAGAGGUAUUAAGAAAAGUUCUUUUUUUUAGCCACUCGUAUUUCCAAGCGCGCCAAUUUUUCGAGGAAAGGAAUCCUAGCAUCGCGAUACUUAUUAACGAUCGAAAGAGUAAUAAUUGGUUCAACGAGCGCGGAAGUGAAUUGAUUUGUAACGCUAGUCCAAAUUUGAAAUCGUUUAAAUGAUUUCGUUCGUUCAUUUACGAAUGUCGAUAAUUCGAUCGUCUACCCUUUAAUAACAACAACCCGUCAAAUUUAACUCCCGUGACUCGAAAAUUCGAAACGCGAAAUUUCGUAAAUCAAUCACGAUCGCUGACACGGUGCCCUGCAAUAUUUACAUUCGACAAUUCAAAACGAAAUUUCAACAAUAUUUUUCACAAGGAAAAUAACGAAAUAACCAAAAACACGAGAUAUUUCACAUCCAACCGAUAUGUAAAAACUAUACGUUCGAGCACCAUUCUCUCUCUCUCUCAAAAAAAAGGAUCAUAAAAUUUGAAAAAAAAUAUUAUAAAUCACAACUCUCUCCGCUGAAUCCAAUAAUACUUAAAGUUCAUCUUUCCACUCCCGAUUCCCAAUUAUCUUCCCCCGUUCAAUCGUGAAAAAUAAUUAAGGAGCGUCGUUCCAUCGAACGUCGAGCCGAAUCUCGAAUGGUGAAGGGGCGUUGAAGCGUGUCGAAUUGUUGGACCGUGUCUCGCGCGUGUCGAUCCCUCUGCUGGAACACCGAAUUCCAAUUCGGACUUAUACUUGCGGAUGAUGUCGCCGAAUCCUCGAGAUCAGAGUAAGCGGAUUUGCGGUAGACGAUUGCGUGGCCCGCGCAGCAGGUCAGGAAUACGGUGCAUAUGGAGAGCAGCACGAUCACCUGGAAUGCGAUGGAUUGAUUUAUCGGUCGCGUUUCUUGCUCCACUGAGCGCACACCAGCUUAUAUCGCGUUUAAUCCGCGAAUCGUUAAUGGAGCGAUUGGCUAUCAACGCGAAUUUACAACGCGGUGUAUAAUAAUUUUACUUUGAAUUCGUGAGAGAUGAAGAAGGAACAAUGGACGGAAGAAUUUAGACAAUUUUCAAUCUUUGCUUGAAUAGUUAAUUACUUGGAUAGUAAUUUUGAAAUUGAAAUCGUUUAAGGAGAAAGGAAAUGUGAUGUUUGAUUAUUGUUAUUUCUCGAGGGAUAAAAAUCUUACUUUGCAAGUUUCUUUUUUCUUUUUUUCUUUUUUUGGUUGUUGAUUUUCUUCAAUUCAAUCCUCCCUCAAAGAAUCUUUGGAGGGUCAUUUGGAGAGUUUUUCGUACGAAGAGAUAUUGUUAAACAAUUUGAUAGAUACGCUGGCGUAUAAUUUAAAAUGAAAAUCGCGUUUGAAAAAUUGUAUUGAAAGUUGGCUGUGGAAAAAUUUUCCCCACCUUAUAAUUUAUAAUUUAAAAUUGUUCGAAACGAGUGAGUGUUGAAGUUUUUGACAGUUAUUGUACACUUUUCACGUAAUAAGAAAUUUAUAAUUCUGGUGUCGCGUGUCUUAUUCUUCCUGGCAUCUAAAUUCGAGUAUGUGAGAAACGACACUUAGAUAGAGCCUAUAAAACUGGUUAGAACACCUGGCGUGAUUCGCAGGUGUCGGAACAUCUCCCUCUUCCACUAAGAUUACGUUUCACGUAGACGAGCACACCCGUCUAUGAAUUCUGUACAAGAUUAUCACUGCUGCGAUCCAUUAUAUUCCACAAUUAAGAUAGGAUUUUAGAAAUUUCGAUAUAAAAAUUUAUACAUUCAGAGAACGAGGGUCUCAACGGUCAAAAUAUCGAUAUUUAACCUCAAAGUUGUUAAAUAAAUAAAAUCAUAUUUCUUAAACGACGCGAUAAGAAAUAAAUUACUUAAAAAACUAAUUACUUAAAAAUAAAGUUAAAAAAAUUCCCGAUGAAAAUUAAAAUUCUAAACCACCAAUGCCUGGAAUAAUAAUAAGAGAAUGUUAAAAAAGGGAAAAAAAGGAAAGAAAUUCAUCGAUGUUUGUUAAUCGAUAAGUUUCAGGUGAAAAAGUGCCAUUUUCACCUACGAUAUUCUUUCACGGCUAACAUUGAAAUACCAUCCGUAAAAGCAAGCUUGACAAAAAAAAAAAAAAAAAAAGAAAAA
Molecule: long non-coding RNA, 9264 nt
Organism: Apis cerana (Asiatic honeybee)
Lineage: Eukaryota; Metazoa; Arthropoda; Insecta; Hymenoptera; Apidae
Source: RefSeq, a predicted model, not a curated record